GGGUUGUGAGGUUAAGCGACUAAGCGUACACGGUGGAUGCCCUGGCAGUCAGAGGCGAUGAAGGGCGUGCUAAUCUGCGAUAAGCGCCGGUAAGGUGAUAUGAACCGUUAUAACCGGCGAUACCCGAAUGGGGAAACCCAGUGUGAUUCGUCACACUAUCAUUAACUGAAUCCAUAGGUUAAUGAGGCGAACCGGGGGAACUGAAACAUCUAAGUACCCCGAGGAAAAGAAAUCAACCGAGAUUCCCCCAGUAGCGGCGAGCGAACGGGGAGGAGCCCAGAGCCUGAAUCAGCAUGUGUGUUAGUGGAAGCGUCUGGAAAGGCGCGCGAUACAGGGUGACAGCCCCGUACACAAAAGCGCAUGUGCUGUGAGCUCGAUGAGUAGGGCGGGACACGUGGUAUCCUGUCUGAAUAUGGGGGGACCAUCCUCCAAGGCUAAAUACUCCUGACUGACCGAUAGUGAACCAGUACCGUGAGGGAAAGGCGAAAAGAACCCCGGCGAGGGGAGUGAAAAAGAACCUGAAACCGUGUACGUACAAGCAGUGGGAGCACAGGUUUACCUGUGUGACUGCGUACCUUUUGUAUAAUGGGUCAGCGACUUAUAUUCUGUAGCAAGGUUAACCGAAUAGGGAGCCGGAGGGAAACCGAGUCUUAAUUGGGCGUUAAGUUGCAGGGUAUAGACCCGAAACCCGGUGAUCUAGCCAUGGGCAGGUUGAAGGUUGGGUAACACUAACUGGAGGACCGAACCGACUAAUGUUGAAAAAUUAGCGGAUGACCUGUGGCUGGGGGUGAAAGGCCAAUCAAACCGGGAGAUAGCUGGUUCUCCCCGAAAGCUAUUUAGGUAGCGCCUCGUGAAUUCAUCUCCGGGGGUAGAGCACUGUUUCGGCUAGGGGGCCAUCCCGGCUUACCAACCCGAUGCAAACUGCGAAUACCGGAGAAUGUUAUCACGGGAGACACACGGCGGGUGCUAACGUCCGUCGUGAAGAGGGAAACAACCCAGACCGCCAGCUAAGGUCCCAAAGUCAUGGUUAAGUGGGAAACGAUGUGGGAAGGCCCAGACAGCCGGAUGUUGGCUUAGAAGCAGCCAUCAUUUAAAGAAAGCGUAAUAGCUCACUGGUCGAGUCGGCCUGCGCGGAAGAUGUAACGGGGCUAAACCAUGCACCGAAGCUGCGGCAGCGACACUGUGUGUUGUUGGGUAGGGGAGCGUUCUGUAAGCCUGUGAAGGUGUGUCGUGAGGCAUGCUGGAGGUAUCAGAAGUGCGAAUGCUGACAUAAGUAACGAUAAAGCGGGUGAAAAGCCCGCUCGCCGGAAGACCAAGGGUUCCUGUCCAACGUUAAUCGGGGCAGGGUGAGUCGACCCCUAAGGCGAGGCCGAAAGGCGUAGUCGAUGGGAAACGGGUUAAUAUUCCCGUACUUGGUGUUACUGCGAAGGGGGGACGGAGAAGGCUAUGUUGGCCGGGCGACGGUUGUCCCGGUUUAAGCGUGUAGGUGUGUGUUCGGGUAAAUCCGGUUCACUUUAACACUGAGGCGUGACGACGAGGCACUACGGUGCUGAAGCAACAAAUGCCCUGCUUCCAGGAAAAGCCUCUAAGCAUCAGGUAACAUCAAAUCGUACCCCAAACCGACACAGGUGGUCAGGUAGAGAAUACCAAGGCGCUUGAGAGAACUCGGGUGAAGGAACUAGGCAAAAUGGUGCCGUAACUUCGGGAGAAGGCACGCUGACACGUAGGUGAAGUGAUUUACUCAUGGAGCUGAAGUCAGUCGAAGAUACCAGCUGGCUGCAACUGUUUAUUAAAAACACAGCACUGUGCAAACACGAAAGUGGACGUAUACGGUGUGACGCCUGCCCGGUGCCGGAAGGUUAAUUGAUGGGGUCAGCGCAAGCGAAGCUCCUGAUCGAAGCCCCGGUAAACGGCGGCCGUAACUAUAACGGUCCUAAGGUAGCGAAAUUCCUUGUCGGGUAAGUUCCGACCUGCACGAAUGGCGUAAUGAUGGCCAGGCUGUCUCCACCCGAGACUCAGUGAAAUUGAACUCGCUGUGAAGAUGCAGUGUACCCGCGGCAAGACGGAAAGACCCCGUGAACCUUUACUAUAGCUUGACACUGAACAUUGAGCCUUGAUGUGUAGGAUAGGUGGGAGGCUUUGAAGUGUGGACGCCAGUCUGCAUGGAGCCGACCUUGAAAUACCACCCUUUAAUGUUUGAUGUUCUAACGUGGACCCGUUACCCGGGUUGCGGACAGUGUCUGGUGGGUAGUUUGACUGGGGCGGUCUCCUCCUAAAGAGUAACGGAGGAGCACGAAGGUUGGCUAAUCCUGGUCGGACAUCAGGAGGUUAGUGCAAUGGCAUAAGCCAGCUUGACUGCGAGCGUGACGGCGCGAGCAGGUGCGAAAGCAGGUCAUAGUGAUCCGGUGGUUCUGAAUGGAAGGGCCAUCGCUCAACGGAUAAAAGGUACUCCGGGGAUAACAGGCUGAUACCGCCCAAGAGUUCAUAUCGACGGCGGUGUUUGGCACCUCGAUGUCGGCUCAUCACAUCCUGGGGCUGAAGUAGGUCCCAAGGGUAUGGCUGUUCGCCAUUUAAAGUGGUACGCGAGCUGGGUUUAGAACGUCGUGAGACAGUUCGGUCCCUAUCUGCCGUGGGCGCUGGAGAACUGAGGGGGGCUGCUCCUAGUACGAGAGGACCGGAGUGGACGCAUCACUGGUGUUCGGGUUGUCAUGCCAAUGGCACUGCCCGGUAGCUAAAUGCGGAAGAGAUAAGUGCUGAAAGCAUCUAAGCACGAAACUUGCCCCGAGAUGAGUUCUCCCUGAGACUUAGAGUCUCCUGAAGGAACGUUGAAGACGACGACGUUGAUAGGCCGGGUGUGUAAGCGCAGCGAUGCGUUGAGCUAACCGGUACUAAUGAACCGUGAGGCUUAACCUUACAACGCCGAAG
RNAcentral lists this ribosomal RNA (2925 nucleotides) under Salmonella enterica. RNAcentral's name for it is "23S ribosomal RNA". It matches the Rfam family "Bacterial large subunit ribosomal RNA". Lineage: Bacteria; Pseudomonadati; Pseudomonadota; Gammaproteobacteria; Enterobacterales; Enterobacteriaceae. The record is from RNAcentral.